Molecule: ribosomal RNA, 256 nt
Filed under: uncultured bacterium
Lineage: Bacteria
Description: partial 16S ribosomal RNA
Rfam family: Bacterial small subunit ribosomal RNA
Source: RNAcentral
UAAUACGGAGGGUGCAAGCGUUGUUCGGAAUCAUUGGGCGUAAAGCGCGUGUAGGCGGUCUGAGUAGUCGGGUGUGAAAGCCCUGGGCUUAACCCAGGAAUUGCGCCCGAAACCAUCAGACUAGGGUUCAGGAGGGGAGUGUGGAAUUCCCAGUGUAGCAGUGAAAUGCGUAGAUAUUGGGAGGAACACCGGUGGCGAAAGCGACACUCUGGACUGACACCGACGCUAAGACGCGAAAGCGUGGGGAGCAAACAGG